This 253-nucleotide ribosomal RNA is filed under the name uncultured bacterium. Its description in RNAcentral is "partial 16S ribosomal RNA". It matches the Rfam family "Bacterial small subunit ribosomal RNA", at positions 524 to 776 of the family's 1533-position model. The record is from RNAcentral.
UACGUAGGGCGCAAGCGUUGUCCGGAAUUAUUGGGCGUAAAGAGCUCGUAGGCGGCUCGUCGCGUCGACCGUGAAAACCAGCAGCUUAACUGCUGGCUUGCGGUUGAUACGGGCGGGCUAGAGUUCGGUAGGGGAGACUGGAAUUCCUGGUGUAGCGGUGAAAUGCGCAGAUAUCAGGAGGAACACCGGUGGCGAAGGCGGGUCUCUGGGCCGAUACUGACGCUGAGGAGCGAAAGCGUGGGGAGCAAACAGG